GGGUUGUGAGGUUAAGCGACUAAGCGUACACGGUGGAUGCCCUGGCAGUCAGAGGCGAUGAAGGGCGUGCUAAUCUGCGAUAAGCGCCGGUAAGGUGAUAUGAACCGUUAUAACCGGCGAUACCCGAAUGGGGAAACCCAGUGUGACUCGUCACACUAUCAUUAACUGAAUCCAUAGGUUAAUGAGGCGAACCGGGGGAACUGAAACAUCUAAGUACCCCGAGGAAAAGAAAUCAACCGAGAUUCCCCCAGUAGCGGCGAGCGAACGGGGAGGAGCCCAGAGCCUGAAUCAGCAUGUGUGUUAGUGGAAGCGUCUGGAAAGACGCGCGAUACAGGGUGACAGCCCCGUACACAAAAGCGCAUGUGCUGUGAGCUCGAUGAGUAGGGCGGGACACGUGGUAUCCUGUCUGAAUAUGGGGGGACCAUCCUCCAAGGCUAAAUACUCCUGACUGACCGAUAGUGAACCAGUACCGUGAGGGAAAGGCGAAAAGAACCCCGGCGAGGGGAGUGAAAAAGAACCUGAAACCGUGUACGUACAAGCAGUGGGAGCACCCUUUGGGGUGUGACUGCGUACCUUUUGUAUAAUGGGUCAGCGACUUAUAUUCUGUAGCAAGGUUAACCG
Molecule: ribosomal RNA, 621 nt
Filed under: Salmonella enterica subsp. enterica serovar Thompson
Lineage: Bacteria; Pseudomonadati; Pseudomonadota; Gammaproteobacteria; Enterobacterales; Enterobacteriaceae
Also listed under: 1 other name
Description: partial 23S ribosomal RNA
Rfam family: Bacterial large subunit ribosomal RNA
Source: RNAcentral